RNAcentral lists this small RNA (272 nucleotides) under Arabidopsis thaliana (thale cress). RNAcentral's name for it is "ATSL287490". The record is from RNAcentral. Lineage: Eukaryota; Viridiplantae; Streptophyta; Magnoliopsida; Brassicales; Brassicaceae.
AAACUAGAAGUGAGGAAAUAUUUAUAGGGUGAAUUGCAAAACUAACUGUUUUUGAUAAUUUAUUUAAGAAACUAACACUAUAAUAUACAAAAUGUAGAAAUUAACACUAGAGGGUAGUAAAAUUACUAAAUUAGUCUUUUUGAUUGGAGAUGGUAGUGGUGGUGAUGGUUGUGGCCGGUGGUGGCCGGCGGUGGUGGAUGGAGUUGAUGGUGGUCGGAAGUGUUGGUGAUCGGUGUGGUGGUUGCUAUGGUGGUGGCCCGCGGUGGUAGUGG